This 1178-nucleotide long non-coding RNA is filed under the name Betta splendens (Siamese fighting fish). RNAcentral describes it as "lncRNA (ENSBSLG00000011747.1)". Lineage: Eukaryota; Metazoa; Chordata; Actinopteri; Anabantiformes; Osphronemidae. The record is from RNAcentral.
UCGCUCACCGUAGCAAGUGGGCGGGGCCAGGUGCGGCACUCACAGCACUCAGCUCGGACACACACGCGCUGCUGCACUCGCUCACUCGCUCAGACAGAGAGCAGACAUAGCGCUCUUCAACAUCGAACACGGACUUUUUCUUACUUUUUCUCUCCACAAAAACAUUUUUUUGAACAAGCUUGCCUGAAGAAGGUUCUUAUAAGAACCGAAACGUUGCAAUUUAAGCUUGUUCACCUGCAUAGAGGCUUUCUACGGAGCAGCUCCGACAUGAACAGAUGGGAGGAGGAAGACGGCUGGACGGUGGUUGAACGAAGGCGCGGCCGCGGUAAGCAGCGCGACCAAACCUGGCGUCAGCUCCAGCCCCCUCGCUUCCAAGAGACAGUCUACCGCCGCUCCUAUGCUUCUGCAACCAGAGCUGGCACACGUACGGGAAGUUACCCCCGACGCUACUACCGAGAGCCAGGCUACAAGCCGCAAUUUUUUGAUCGCCGGAACCGUAAUGGUCCCGGCAAUAACAAUAAAAACUCACGUGUUAAACAACAAAACGUGUAUAAAAAGUACUACAAACAACAACACAAUUCGACACAUGAACAAUAUAAAAAUACACAGCAACAAAGACCCAGAUCCUCAGAUCCGGAUUUUGGAUUAAAAGUUAGGAUUAUUUACACAGUGAUUAAAAUGGCUCAUCACCUGAAAAACGUCUCAGCAGAUGAGCCUCCACCCACCAUAACCAGACUAAUUCACAAUCUCUCCACUGUCAUCAAGCCGGCAUCACCCAGAACCACCACACAGACACUUAUAGAGGGAAAUGCCAAAAACUGGGCAUAUACCACCAUGCUGAUCCUCCAAGAACAUUACACACAAGUCAUGGAGGCGGAAGUGGAGAAACUGACCAACUUGUGUUCCACUCACAGCUGGCACGAUCCCUUUGAAGUGGCAAAAUCCUGGGUGAGGAGAAACUUGGGUCGUCGUCUCAAGGAUGAAACUCUGGACCAGGUCAAACUUGUCCUUGUGGUUCACUUGGACAAAGAGACCUCAAGUGAAAGGGGAGAAAGGGAGGAGGAGCAAUGUGGACCACACGACUGCAGCCCGGAUAAAACCGAGCACACUGUGCGGCCACGUAGCACAGUCUCAACACAGGUUCACAGUAGGGGACAACACACAGCGACUGCGUUCCC